This 1386-nucleotide long non-coding RNA is filed under the name Fukomys damarensis (Damara mole-rat). RNAcentral's name for it is "lncRNA (ENSFDAG00000032584.1)". The record is from RNAcentral. Lineage: Eukaryota; Metazoa; Chordata; Mammalia; Rodentia; Bathyergidae.
CCCCGUCCCGGCCUGAGCGGGACCCUAGGCGCCAGGAAGUGGGACAGUCGGUCUCAGUCUCCGCCCGGGCCCAGGGUCCCCCGAUCGAUGGAGGAGGCACUGUGAGAUAAACAGAUUCGCAACCGGAAGCAGCCCGGGCUGCGGUUCUCCGGGUGCAGCAGUGCGGGCAACCUGCUCAGCGCACCAGCACCGCCCGGACCUGCAGAAUCAGAAGAGAGAGAACAUAUACGUGUGUUUACUCCAUGGGCGGACAGCAGCCUCACAGCAGAUGAAAAGACCUGGCCACCUACACAGUCACCGAAGUCCCUGCGAUCUGAGUCAGGCAGAGCUGUCCCGCACCUCCUGUCCCCUGGUCAACAUCCCCAGCCGAGCAGCACGUGGGGCAGGGCGUGGACCUACACUGCAGCGGCAGCGUCACCCAGAGCCGCCAGUGCCAACGACAGCACGAUUUUGCCGUUGGGACAGCACACGCAGGACAAACCUUCUGCCUGCCACACCCGUGUCCUUCCCCCGACCCCGGCAACCGUUCUUGCCACUGUCACCGUAUUGGGCCUCUUCUGUGAAGUCACACAGCUGGACUUUUCGGACCGGCUUCCUCCACUUCUUCCCAGGAUUCAGCGUCCCUCUGAGUCUGUCUGUGCCCUGAAGGCUCAUCCUUUUUCAGCGCUGGAUAAUAUCCCAUGGCCUGGAUGUGCCGUAGUUUAUCCCCUGCCCCACUCCUGGACGACCUCCAGGUGUUCAAGGUCAGUCCGAGUUGUGGGCACGCACACAGCUGCUGUAAACGUCCGUGUGCAGGCUCACUCGGGCGUGGGGAGGAGGGGUUUAGCUCUGUGGGAAAUGGCCCGGCUGCCUUCCAAAGUGGCUCUGCCGCCUGCCACCCCCACAGCAGGGACUGAGACCCCGGGCCUACUGUGGCUGCUCUGACGGAUGUGCUCAUCCCCGGGGGCCACCACGGCCCUGCCUGCCCUGCCACUGACUCCAGGCCCUGGAUCCGGCCUCUGGUGCCUGGUGGGGUCCAGGUUUGAAGCCCUUUCCUCUGGGAAUGACAAGGACACUAGCUGUGUGUCCUGCUGGCCUCUUUGGGUGGGAAGGGGUGGUGUUCGUGUCGUCCACGUCCUCAGGGACGCCUCGUUCCCUGGCUGCCAAGCCCGGCUCCUCCCUGGUAAGGGGCGCAUGGUGGGCGCUCAGGAAGCCCUUCCGGAUGGUGAGCUUCAACACCGCUGUGAUCGACAAGAAGAUCCCAGGAGGGCAAGCAAUAUGGAAGUUACCCAGCGAAUGGCAGAGAAUGCUUGUCUGAAGUGUCACUGCCAAGUGCCCCUGCUCUUCUCCCCACCUGAGAACCCUAACUCACCUGCCACCUCUCCCAGAGCGCCAGCUUUGCAGUAA